This 823-nucleotide unclassified non-coding RNA is filed under the name Hevea brasiliensis (rubber tree). The record is from RNAcentral. Lineage: Eukaryota; Viridiplantae; Streptophyta; Magnoliopsida; Malpighiales; Euphorbiaceae.
GGAAAACCAAGUUUAAGAUCCACGUAAACUCAAAAUUGUUUAAAUGGACGUAAAGCAAACUGUCAACAGACACGAAUGGCAAUAUGUUUUAUCAUGAUGGAUAUGAAUCUCUAGCACUGGCUAGUUACACCCUCCUUCCAAUUAGCCAUGUAUUUCUUAAUAUUAAACUCCCAUAUAAUUCACAUGAAUGCAGAUUUAAGUUAUCACCACUCAACUUAAACUAUACACUAAAAUAUCCAUUUUCUUGACUUGUAAGACAUUUCACCAUGUAUUUGCAUGGAUCUUCCCUAUAAUAUCACCUCAAAACAUUUCAUCAGAACUGUAGAAUGAAUCCUGAUUUUAACCACAUCACGAAAAUAGUAACCACUGAAUCCUUAAUAAGAACUUGAAGUGGAAAGUAAUAUUUAUGGCACAAAACACCCUUUUUAAUCAUCUAGUAUCAUACAUACUGUUGUUGGUUAUCUGAAGGGGCAAAAAAAUAGAAAGAUUUAGAAGAACAGAAGAUCAACAUCUGAUGGUGGAUUUCAAAUUCCAACCAAGUAUAUUUAUUGUUAUGAUAAUAAAGAGAACUAGAGCUGUGGGAACGUUUAGGAGAACAUAUUGUAUAAAUAGGAAGCAUUGUUAACUGAUUGAGUGCAGUCAAGAAUUCAAAAUCAAACCAUAUUGUUAUGAUAAUAAGGAGAACAGAAGCUGUGGGAAUGUUUAGGAGAAUAUAUUGUAUAAGUAGGAUGUAUAGGAGAAUAUAUCGUAUAAAUUGGGAGCAUUGUAACUGAUUGGAGGCAGUCAAGAAUUCAAUAACACAACAAUUCCUUCUCUCUCUAUA